RNAcentral lists this ribosomal RNA (465 nucleotides) under Vreelandella stevensii. RNAcentral describes it as "partial 16S ribosomal RNA". It matches the Rfam family "Bacterial small subunit ribosomal RNA", at positions 338 to 795 of the family's 1533-position model. Lineage: Bacteria; Pseudomonadati; Pseudomonadota; Gammaproteobacteria; Oceanospirillales; Halomonadaceae. The record is from RNAcentral.
CCUACGGGAGGCAGCAGUGGGGAAUAUUGGACAAUGGGGGCAACCCUGAUCCAGCCAUGCCGCGUGUGUGAAGAAGGCCCUCGGGUUGUAAAGCACUUUCAGUGAGGAAGAACGCCUGGUGGUUAAUACCCAUCAGGAAAGACAUCACUCACAGAAGAAGCACCGGCUAACUCCGUGCCAGCAGCCGCGGUAAUACGGAGGGUGCGAGCGUUAAUCGGAAUUACUGGGCGUAAAGCGCGCGUAGGUGGCUUGAUAAGCCGGUUGUGAAAGCCCCGGGCUCAACCUGGGAACGGCAUCCGGAACUGUCAAGCUAGAGUGCAGGAGAGGAAGGUAGAAUUCCCGGUGUAGCGGUGAAAUGCGUAGAGAUCGGGAGGAAUACCAGUGGCGAAGGCGGCCUUCUGGACUGACACUGACACUGAGGUACGAAAGCGUGGGUAGCAAACAGGAUUAGAUACCCUGGUAGUC